Molecule: long non-coding RNA, 1018 nt
Filed under: Chinchilla lanigera (long-tailed chinchilla)
Lineage: Eukaryota; Metazoa; Chordata; Mammalia; Rodentia; Chinchillidae
Description: lncRNA (ENSCLAG00000027959.1)
Source: RNAcentral
AACUUAGAACUCUGGUCACCAGCCACAACUGCCAUCCCAGGCACUUGGCUGGAGACAGCGAGCAGCCAACAUGCUCUGCUGCUUUCCCAGGCCUCGAGGCCCCAGCCUCAGGACCCCGCAUGGAAAAGCCACUUGGGAACGAGGGAGAGGAUGGUUCACUCGGCCCAGAUUCUUCAGCACCCACACCAGGAACUGCCCAACUGUCAUGGGCAGCACAGGGCAGGGCUCAGCAGCUCCGGCCCCCAGGCGCCCAGAGACAAGAGGGAGUGCAGGACAGGUGUCCCUAGGCUCUGCCACCAGCCACUCGGAGCCACUGAGUCUGGGACAGGCCCAUUUAGGCCUGGCCACCACUACGGGAAAUCGGUCGACCAAGAGCCUGACAGAGGUCUAUAUAGAGAGCUCGGUGCAGGCAGGGCCACUCCGCAUCCUGAUGGAGCCCCUGGAGCCAGCCUUCCUGGACAGUGGCCCCAGCCCUGGCCCCUCCUUCCUGCACUCCUCAAGGGCUGACAAGUCCACCCCACAGGCCCUGCUGGUGGGAAGCUCCACCUCUCCUGUCCAUGACUCUGCACUGGAGCUGCAGUCCUGGGUGGAUCUCCAGGCUGAGCUUCUCCUGGAGCCCCCAGAGCCCCUUGAGGCAGAGCCCCCGGCAUCAGCUCCAGCCCACGCUGAAUUCCCAGCUGCAGAGCUGGUGCCAGCUCCACCUGCCGCUCCCUCACCAGCUCAGGCUCUAGAGCCAGCGCCGGCACCUGGAUCCUCUUGGUUGCCAGCCGCAGAGCCAGAACUCCUCUUGGCUCCACCACAGGGCUCACCUUUUGAGCUCUACCUGGAGGCAGCUCUUGACCCAAACCUCCCAUUCCCUUCUCUGCCAGAUUUACUUGUUAUUGUACUUAUUGCUUUCCUUAAUUCCCAGAGAUGUGGAAAUGGUAGAAUUAAUGUAAAUAAAGUUAAAGAUUUUAGUGCUGUUUAAAAUGAUCAGCUUGGUAGCAUUUAAUGCUUUCUCAGUGUUGUGCAAUCUUCA